Molecule: ribosomal RNA, 462 nt
Filed under: uncultured bacterium
Lineage: Bacteria
Description: partial 16S ribosomal RNA
Rfam family: Bacterial small subunit ribosomal RNA
Source: RNAcentral
AACGAACGCUGGCGGCAGGCUUAACACAUGCAAGUCGAACGCCCCGCAAGGGGAGUGGCGCACGGGUGAGUAACGCGUGGGGAUCUGCCCUUUAGUUCGGAACAACACCGGGAAACUGGUGCUAAUACCGGAUAUUCCACUUUGCCUUGGCGGCAGAAUGGGAAAGAUUUAUCGCUAAAGGAUGAACCCGCGUAUGAUUAGCUAGUUGGUGGGGUAAAAGCCUACCAAGGCGACGAUCAUUAGCUGGUCUGAGAGGACGAUCAGCCACACUGGAACUGAGACACGGUCCAGACUCCUACGGGAGGCAGCAGUGGGGAAUAUUGGACAAUGGGCGAAAGCCUGAUCCAGCCAUGCCGCGUGAGUGAUGAAGGCCUUCGGGUUGUAAAGCUCUUUUAGAUGGGAAGAUUAUGACGGUACCAUCAGAAUAAGCCCCGGCUAACUUCGUGCCAGCAGCCGCCGUAA